GUGCCAGCAGCCGCGGUAAUACAGAGGGGUGCAAGCGUUAAUCGGAUUUACUGGGCGUAAAGCGCGCGUAGGCGGCUAAUUAAGUCAAAUGUGAAAUCCCCGAGCUUAACUUGGGAAUUGCAUUCGAUACUGGUUAGCUAGAGUGUGGGAGAGGAUGGUAGAAUUCCAGGUGUAGCGGUGAAAUGCGUAGAGAUCUGGAGGAAUACCGAUGGCGAAGGCAGCCAUCUGGCCUAACACUGACGCUGAGGUGCGAAAGCAUGGGGAGCCAAACAGGGAUUAGAUACCCUGGUAAGUUC
Molecule: ribosomal RNA, 296 nt
Filed under: uncultured microorganism
Description: partial 16S ribosomal RNA
Rfam family: Bacterial small subunit ribosomal RNA
Source: RNAcentral